This 451-nucleotide ribosomal RNA is filed under the name uncultured bacterium. Its description in RNAcentral is "bacterial SSU rRNA". It matches the Rfam family "Bacterial small subunit ribosomal RNA", at positions 29 to 523 of the family's 1533-position model. The record is from RNAcentral.
AACGAACGCUGGCGGCAGGCUUAACACAUGCAAGUCGAACGGGCGUAGCAAUACGUCAGUGGCAGACGGGUGAGUAACACGUGGGAACCUUCCUAGGGGGUACGGAACAACUCAGGGAAACUUGAGCUAAUACCGUAUACGUCCGUGAGGAGAAAGAUUUAUCGCCCUUAGACGGGCCCGCGUCGGAUUAGCUAGUUGGUGGGUAACGGCCUACCAAGGCGACGAUCCGGUAGCUGAUCUGAGAGGAUGAUCAGCCACACUGGGACUGAGACACGGCCCAGACUCCUACGGGAGGCGGCAGUGGGGAAUCUUGGACAAUGGGCGCAAGCCUGAUCCAGCCAUGCCGCGUGAGUGAAGAAGGCCUUCGGGUUGUAAAGCUCUUUGUCAGGGACGAGUAAUGACGGUACCUGAAGAAUAAGCCCCGGCAAACUCGUGCCAGCAGCCGCGGUAA